AGAGGGAGGGAGAGGACAGUGCCAAAACCCAGCUCCUGGCCAGUCCCCAGCUCCUCCCUGCCUGGCCCUAUCCCAGGAUCCCCUCCCCAGCCUCCCAGCUAUGAUGUACCCCAGGGCCCAGACUUCAGGCGCCCUCACAAUGCCGGCGGUUUGAGUACAAGCUCAGCUUCAAAGGCCCAAGGCUGGCAUUGCCUGGAGCUGGAAUACCCUUCUGGAGCCAUCAUGGAGACGCCAUCCUGGGCCUGGAGGAAGUGCGGCUGACGCCAUCCAUGAGGAACCGGAGUGGCGCCGUGUGGAGCAGGGCCUCUGUCCCCUUCUCUGCCUGGGAAGUAGAGGUGCAGAUGAGGGUGACGGGACUGGGGCGCCGGGGAGCCCAGGGCAUGGCCGUGUGGUAUACCCGGGGCAGGGGCCAUGUAGGCUCUGUCCUUGGGGGGCUGGCCUCGUGGGACGGCAUCGGGAUCUUCUUUGACUCUUCGGCAGAGGAUACUCAGAACAGUCCUGCCAUCCGUGUGCUGGCCAGCGAUGGGCACAUCCCCUCUGAGCAGCCUGGGGAUGGAGCCAGCCAAGCGCUGGGCUCCUGUCAUCGGGACUUCCGGAACCAGCCACACCCCUUCAGAGCACAGAUCACCUACUGGGGUCAGAGGCUGCGCGUGUCCUUGAACAGUGGCCUCACUCCCAGUGAUCCAGAUGAGUUCUGCAUGGAUGUGGGGCCCCUGCUUUUGGUCCCUGGAGGUUUCUUUGGGGUCUCAGCAGCCACCGUCACCCUGGCAGGUGAGGAUCCCACUGGGCAGGUAAGAGCAGAAGGGCAGUGACGAAUAAAUCACCCUCAGCACACCUUCUAAAGAGCACUGGGGUGGCGUCAGCCACUUCGCCACGGACCUGGGCCUCCAUGACCCUUCGGAAAAGUAAUGUCUGCCUUGAGACUUGCAAGUCUCAAAUGGGAUAAAACAAGAGAAGCUUUGAUUUCAGUGCUGGCCAUAUAAGUACUCCUAGCUGUGAGCUGCGGGACAAGUGGAAGACAGACAGCAAGGAGGGACAUUUAGGAAAAUGGAGCAAAGAGAUGUGACACCAUGGAGAGUCCAUGGAGGGUCCCACAGCGGGAAAGCCAAGGGCAACCAGAGCGUGGGAGUCCUUGAAUGCCAGGACCUUGGUCUGGCUUCUGAGGAGGAGAGUGACAUGGUCAGAGCUAUGCUGGAAAGGUGGCCACGGUGCAGUUGCUACUACCAGUAGCAGCUGUGCUCUGGGGGCCUAGAGAGUGUCCGUUGGUCUGCUGCCAUGGCUCUAGCCCGGGAUGUUUUGGGAUCAUCCAGUUCUGCCACAGGGGCCUGCCUCUGACUGAGUGUGAGGUUCAACCCUCACCACCCACCCAUCUACCUGUCAACCCUCACAUCUUCCUA
Molecule: small RNA, 1397 nt
Filed under: Pongo abelii (Sumatran orangutan)
Lineage: Eukaryota; Metazoa; Chordata; Mammalia; Primates; Hominidae
Description: retained intron
Source: RNAcentral